UAAAAUGUUAUUUCUUUUAAUUAUUUCUAACUAUAUUUCUCCAGGUAGAAGCACAAGAUCCCUCCGCAGAAAGCACACGAGGCUCCCUACAGCGAGGCUGGACUCUCCACGUGCAGGAUUGCAGGAAGAAAUGGCGUUUGAGGAGGGAACUGUUGCUCUGGUGUCCAAGAUAAGGAUCCUUUCUCAUCCCAGCAAGUGUUCAUGGCACUUAAGGACCAGGUUGUGAUGUCCCUCAACAAAUGGACUGACACACUGGUUUAAGGUUGACAUAUCAUGCACAUGGACUUUGAAACAGAACUACAAUAUUUUUGGUACCACAGUAAUGAUACAGUCCCGAUCAAAAGUUUGGUGUGGUUGGAUCUUAACAAAGUUUCAAGUAGAACUUACUUAACAAUAUGCUACAACAUGAAAGUGAGACAAAACAAAAAUAUUAAUAAACCUUUUAUUGAAAACAGCUAUUAAACUGAAAUGUUUUUGCAGAUGAUCGAAGGUUUAGGGCCACAUGCUUUUAACAGGUCAAAUCUGAGCACAAGUGUGGAUUCAGUGUCAUUUUCUGUCAGGUUUUCACACCGUCAUGUUCCAUAACUCUCAGGGUCUUUAAGGAAAUUCAAAAUUACUGUUAUUGCGUCCCACCUCAAUGACAAUGAAUACACAUUUUUUGCACAGAUUUGGCCUUUUAACCUCUUAACCUCCACCUGAACCAAGCUCAUUUUCUCUAGUUCGGCCGACCUUACCCAAAUCUAAAAGCUUCUUAACUGGAGAACUGUAGGCCAGUGUAACAUCUGAUUUGAAAGCUAAGACUAACAAAACUGAUCUAAACUGAUCUUUUUGCUUGCGUUGUUGCCGUCACUUUAACCUUUUUUUUUCCAUCGCUUUUUUCAUCACUUAUUUGCCCUUGCUUUUUUAAAUUUUCAUCGUCUUUGUCUUGUGUUUGCUAUUUUGACCCUUUUUUUUUCAUGAAACUUUCUUGGAUUUGGGUAACGAUGAACUGGAGAAAAUGUGCUCGGUUCAGGUGAGGGUCAAGAGGUUAAAGGCAUGUGGUCUUAAACUUUUGAUUAGCUGCAAAACCGCCAGUUUAAUUGUUUUCAUUAAAAGCUUUACUAAUGUUUUGUCUCGCUCCCAUUUCUUCUUGUUGCAUAAUAAAGUUCUACUUGGAACCUCGUUAAGAUCCAACCAUGCAAAAAUGUGAUUUCCUUUUUGCCAUCUUUCAACUGGUCGGGACUUGAUCAGGACUAUAUAUAUAUUACAUUUUAUCAUUUUGAAACUCAAGCACAAGGGUUUUAAAUUACUGUCUGGAGCUCCCUCUACAGACAACAGAGUGAAUUACUGUUUCAACAAACUUUGGUACCGAGCUGUCCUACGCUUCAAUCGGAUGUUGGAUUAUGGGCUUUAAAAAUAUGGAGGAGAGUUUUUGUUUUGUUUUCCCUGAUGCAAUAUAACCAGAUACAGAUGGAGCUCCAACAGUAGAAAACUUAACAACCAAGGUGGAUAUAAUGACUCCAAGUCUGUUUGACCAGGAAACAAGAUCUUGGACACAAACAUGUACAUUGUUUUGACCACUAUACAAACAAUGUUUUGCUGUCUGCAUCUUUUACAGUUCCCUUUUGUUGGUGGAAAGUUGUCAUAAAUAAAGUUGUCAUAGAAAAUGUUCUUCCUGUAUGUGUUAUCAUUUCUCACAUGGUUUAGUGUUGUAUGUUUCCUCAAUUUAAUUGAGGGAAUAAACCUUUUUAAAAUGGGUUUAAGUUAAUGUAGCAUUUAAAUAGUUUGAGUAUAAUAAGCUUGAAUCAUUUGAGUUCAUUAACCUAUACUUUUAAUGCUAUUGUUGACUAAAUGAUUUGAGCUACAGUUGACUAAAUGAUUUGAGCUAUCACUGACUAAAUGAUUUGAGC
Neogobius melanostomus (round goby) is the source of this 1889-nucleotide long non-coding RNA. NCBI's taxonomy places the organism in Eukaryota, Metazoa, Chordata, Actinopteri, Gobiiformes, Gobiidae. The record is from Ensembl.